This 844-nucleotide ribosomal RNA is filed under the name Talaromyces sp. Its description in RNAcentral is "LSU rRNA". It matches the Rfam family "Eukaryotic large subunit ribosomal RNA", at positions 76 to 938 of the family's 3401-position model. The record is from RNAcentral. Lineage: Eukaryota; Fungi; Ascomycota; Eurotiomycetes; Eurotiales; Trichocomaceae.
UGCCUCAGUAACGGCGAGUGAAGCGGCAAGAGCUCAAAUUUGAAAUCUGGCUCCUUCGGGGCCCGAGUUGUAAUUUGGAGAGGAUGCUUCGGGCGUGGCCCCCGUCUAAGUGCCCUGGAACGGGCCGUCAUAGAGGGUGAGAAUCCCGUCUGGGAUGGGUGGUCAUGCCCGUGUGAAGCUCCUUCGAAGAGUCGAGUUGUUUGGGAAUGCAGCUCUAAGAGGGUGGUAAAUUUCAUCUAAAGCUAAAUAUUGGCCGGAGACCGAUAGCGCACAAGUAGAGUGAUCGAAAGAUGAAAAGCACUUUGAAAAGAGAGUUAAACAGCACGUGAAAUUGUUGAAAGGGAAGCAUUGGCACCCAGACUCGCCCGGGAGGGCUCAGCCGGCACUUGUGCCGGUGCACUCCCCCCCGGGCGGGCCAGCGUCGGUUUGGGCGGUCGGUCAAAGGCCCCGGGAAUGUAGCACCCUCCGGGGUGCCUUAUAGCCCGAGGCGCCAUGCGACCUGCCCGGACCGAGGAACGCGCUUCGGCUCGGACGCUGGCGUAAUGGGUGUCAAUGGCCCGUCUUGAAACACGGACCAAGGAGUCUAACAUCUAUGCGAGUGUUCGGGUGUCAAACCCGUCCGCGCAGUGAAAGCGAACGGAGGUGGGAACCCCUCGGGGUGCACCAUCGACCGAUCCUGAUGUCUUCGGAUGGAUUUGAGUAAGAGCAUAGCUGUUGGGACCCGAAAGAUGGUGAACUAUGCCUGAAUAGGGCGAAGCCAGAGGAAACUCUGGUGGAGGCUCGCAGCGGUUCUGACGUGCAAAUCGAUCGUCAAAUUUGGGUAUAGGGGCGAAAGACUAAUCGA